Molecule: ribosomal RNA, 499 nt
Filed under: uncultured Lachnospiraceae bacterium
Lineage: Bacteria; Bacillati; Bacillota; Clostridia; Lachnospirales; Lachnospiraceae
Description: partial 16S ribosomal RNA
Source: RNAcentral
CACGUAGUUAGCCGGGGCUUCUUAGUCAGGUACCGUCAUUAUCUUCCCUGCUGAUAGAGCUUUACAUACCGAAAUACUUCUUCACUCACGCGGCGUCGCUGCAUCAGGGUUUCCCCCAUUGUGCAAUAUUCCCCACUGCUGCCUCCCGUAGGAGUCUGGGCCGUGUCUCAGUCCCAAUGUGGCCGUUCACUCUCUCAAGCCGGCUACUGAUCGUCGCCUUGGUAGGCCGUUACCCCACCAACAAGCUAAUCAGACGCGGGUCCAUCUCACAGCGAUAAAUCUUUGAAAGGAUCGUCAUGCGGCAAUCCCUUGUUAUGCGGUAUUAGCAGCCGUUUCCGGCUGUUGUCCCCCUCUGUGAGGCAGGUUACCCACGCGUUACUCACCCGUCCGCCACUCAGUCAUUACCAUCUUCCCUCCGAAAAGUUCCGUCGGUAGCGCUUCGUUCGACUUGCAUGUGUUAAGCACGCCGCCAGCGUUCAUCCUGAGCCAGGAUCAAACU